UAUUCCUACGGCGCGCAGCAGUGGGGAAUAUUGCGCAAUGGGCGAAAGCCUGACGCAGCGACGCCGAGUGAGGGAUGAAGGUCUUCGGAUCGUAAACCUCUGUCAGCAGGGAAGAACGGUCACUGUGCUAAUCAGCAGUGAAUUGACGGUACCUGCAAAGGAAGCACCGGCUAACUCCGUGCCAGCAGCCGCGGUAAUACGGAGGGAGCGAGCGUUAAUCGGAAUUACUGGGCGUAAAGCGCUCGUAGGCGGUAUGUAAAGUCAAGGGUGAAAUCCCCGCGCUCAAAGAGGGAACUGCAUUUGAA
Molecule: ribosomal RNA, 305 nt
Filed under: uncultured bacterium
Lineage: Bacteria
Description: bacterial SSU rRNA
Rfam family: Bacterial small subunit ribosomal RNA
Source: RNAcentral